ACACAUGCAGUCGAGCGAUGAAAUUUUGACAGAUCCCUUCGGGGUGAAGACAAAAUGGAUUAGCGGCGGACGGGUGAGUAACACGUGAGUAACCUGCCUUAGACAUUGGGAUAGCCUCGGGAAACCGGGAUUAAUACCAAAUAAAAUCAUAGGUGCACAUGCACUAAUGAUCAAAACUCCGGUGGUCUAAGAUGGACUCGCGUCCCAUUAGCUAGUUGGUAGGGUAACGGCCUACCAAGGCGACGAUGGGUAGCCGGCCUGAGAGGGUGAACGGCCACAUUGGAACUGAGAAACGGUCCAAACUCCUACGGGAGGCAGCAGUGGGGAAUAUUGCACAAUGGAGGGAACUCUGAUGCAGCGACGCCGCGUGAACGAAGAAGGCUUUCGAGUCGUAAAGUUCUUUUAUAUGGGAAGAUAAUGACGGUACCAUAAGAAAAAGCCCCGGCUAACUACGUGCCAGCAGCCGCGGUAAUACGUAGGGGGCUAGCGUUGUCCGGAAUCACUGGGCGUAAAGGGUUCGCAGGCGGAAAUGCAAGUCAGGUGUAAAAGGCAGUAGCUUAACUACUGUAAGCAUUUGAAACUGCAUAUCUUGAGAAGAGUAGAGGUAAGUGGAAUUUUUAGUGUAGCGGUGAAAUGCGUAGAUAUUAAAAAGAAUACCGGUGGCGAAGGCGACUUACUGGGCUCAUUCUGACGCUGAGGAACGAAAGCGUGGGUAGCAAACAGGAUUAGAUACCCUGGUAGUCCACGCUGUAAACGAUGAGUGCUAGGUGUCGGCGUAAGUCGGUGCCGCAGUUAACACAAUAAGCACUCCGCCNGGGGAGUA
This 823-nucleotide ribosomal RNA is filed under the name Peptoniphilus sp. Its description in RNAcentral is "bacterial SSU rRNA". It matches the Rfam family "Bacterial small subunit ribosomal RNA", at positions 51 to 882 of the family's 1533-position model. Lineage: Bacteria; Bacillati; Bacillota; Tissierellia; Tissierellales; Peptoniphilaceae. The record is from RNAcentral.